AAUCACCCGUUGGAAUUAGGAUGAUUUACACAGGCCAUAUGCGGGUGUCUUGUGCGUCCUGACGCACCGAGAGGAUCACUCGUGUCUAGUUUCCGUCUUUGUCGGCAGGCAGCGCACACUCUCAUCAGGACCAUUCACACGUCCAGCGCUCAAACCACAACUUCAGAGAAUUGGCCACCGAUGAAGACAUCAUCCAUCAUCCCACUGACGCUCUGCCAGAACACUUGGAGAUAAAUAUGGAGGCUUUUCAAGUUGUACCUGUCUUUGAGAAACCACACAAUCAUAAACCCACAUAGAGCUGCUGGGCUCCGGGGCCAGACUGGGCACCGAGGCCUGACUGCCAGGCGGACUCAGUGGCUGGACUGGAUGAUAAAGUCCAGAGACUCACUGGUGUCUUUGUUAGCCGCCACCAGUCUCCGGAGAAGCAGGAGAUGGUGGUGCAGAUUUAGAAGAGGAAGAGGAGCACAAAGAAGAGUAAGCGACGGUG
This is a long non-coding RNA of Amphiprion ocellaris (clown anemonefish), 487 nucleotides long. RefSeq lists it as uncharacterized. NCBI's taxonomy places the organism in Eukaryota, Metazoa, Chordata, Actinopteri, Pomacentridae. The transcript is spliced from 4 exons. The record is from RefSeq and is a predicted model, not a curated record.